AUGAAUCGUGCGUCGUUGCGCUGCAUUUUACCGGCGGGUUCGGCCAUCUCUCUUGAAGCGCUUUAUGUCACCUGAAAGUCAAAAGUUGAAGAGAGACUAAAAUUCAACUGGUGAAGAAAAACUGGAAAUGAUGAAGACGGACUGAGAAGGCAAAGAAAUAAAACCAGCCUUGCAGAUUAAGGUUGAACCCAUGCUUCAGCAUCAUUUCCACUCCCCUUGAAGAAGAAUUUACCACACUGUUGUGAUAAAAGGGAUGAAUGAGGGUCGCUCUGCAACGACCCUCCUGAGAAGGUGCCACCUCGCCCUGUCCAAGACCGACACCACCUCAGCCAGCACAGCCCUCUCGAUCGAUCCCGGCGAUGGCGAUCUCGCUCAGGCUGAGACCGAAGGGCAGUUCUUGUCAGAGUUCUCGGAAUUGUUUGAGAGUGCGGAUGGAUCCCCAUCUACUCAGGACGCCAGCCAGAAUUCAGCCCAGGAACUGGUUCAGUCCGGACAGCCUGUGGAUGGGAGACAAAACCUGCGGAUGAAGUUCCAAGGUGCUUUCAAGAAGGGCAUUUCCAACCCCAUGGAUCUCCUGGAAUCCACUAUAUAUGAAUCAAAUGUGGUUCCAGGCCCAAAGAAAGCACCUAUGGACUCCCUUUUUGACUAUGGCACCUACAGGAACACGAGCAACCAGAAACGACGCAGGAAGAAGCUGCCCAGAGGUAAAACCGAGACAUCCAACGUGGACGGUCCAAGUGAGGACCCCCCAAAGGUUAUGAAAGUAUUCAACCGCUCCGUCCUCUUUGAAUGCGUGUCACGUGGGGAACCUGAAGCCUUGGAGGGCCUGUUGGAGUACUUGGAAAAAAACGACAAGAGGCUGACGGAUGAGGAGUUCAAAGAGCCAUCCACUGGCAAGACGUGUCUUCCUAAAGCUCUGUUGAACCUCUACAGCGGGCAGAACGACACCAUCCCGCUGCUGUUGGACAUAGCGGAGAAGACUGGAAGCCUGAGAGAGUUUGUCAACACACCUUUCAGGGAUGUCUACUACAGAGGCCAGACGGCGCUCCACAUUGCCAUCGAGCGCCGGUGUAAGCAAUAUGUGGAAUUACUUGUGGAGAAAGGAGCCGAUGUUCACGCGCAGGCCAGAGGACGUUUCUUCCAACCCAGGGACGAGGGGGGCUACUUCUACUUUGGUGAGCUUCCUCUCUCACUGGCCGCGUGCACCAACCAGCCAAACAUUGUGCACUACCUGACCGAGAAUCCCCACAAGAAGGCCGACCUGCGGCGCCAAGAUUCCCGUGGCAACACGGUCCUGCACGCCCUGGUGCACAUUGCGGACAACACCAAGGACAACACCCGCUUCCUCACCAAGAUGUAUGACCUGCUUCUGAUCAAGAGCGCCAAACUGUACCCAGACUGCAGCCUGGAGAGGGUGCUCAAUAAUGAUGGCAUGUCUCCUCUUAUGAUGGCGGCCAAACUGGGCAAGAUUGGGGUUUUUCAACACAUCAUCCGACGUGAGAUCAAAGAUGAGGACGUCCGGCAUCUGUCACGCAAAUUUAAGGACUGGGCUUAUGGACCAGUGUACUCGUCCCUUUAUGAUCUGUCUUCGUUGGACACUUGUGGUGGGGAACCAUCUGUGCUUGAGAUCCUUGUUUACAACAGUCGGAGUGAGAUCCGUCACGAGAUGCUAGCAGUGGAGCCCAUCAACGAACUGCUGAGGGCCAAGUGGCAGAGGUUUGCAGCUGUGACCUUUUACAUCAACGUAGUUUCCUACCUCUUCACCAUGAUCAUCUUCACUCUGGUGGCUUACUACCACCCGACACAGGGAACGCCCCCGUAUCCUUAUACAACAUCCAGUGACUACUUGCGGAUGGCAGGAGAGUUCAUCACAUUAGCAUCGGGAAUCUUCUUCCUCCUAACCAACAUUAAGGACCUCUUCUUGAAGAAGUGCCCUGGGGUGAAGUCGUUAUUUAUUGAUGGAUCCUUUCAACUGCUGUAUUUCAUCUACUCGAUACUGAUCAUAGUCACAGCUGCUCUCUACUUGUCUGGCAUUGAGGCUUAUGUGUCUGUGAUGGUCUUUGCUCUCGUCCUGGGCUGGAUGAACACACUUUACUUUACCAGAGGCCUCAAGCUCACUGGUACCUACAGCAUCAUGAUACAGAAGAUUCUUUUCAAAGACCUGUUCAGGUUUCUACUGGUGUACGUUCUCUUUAUGAUUGGCUAUGCAUCAGCUCUUGUAUCGCUCCUCAGCGUGUGCCCUCCCCCGGGCACGGACUGCGACGGAGACUGCCCGACUUACCCCAAGUGCAGGGACCCUGACACCUUCAGUACCUUCUUACUGGACCUCUUUAAGCUGACCAUUGGGAUGGGAGAAUUGGACAUGAUCCACAGUGCUCAAUACCCUGCAGUUUUCCUCAUUCUCUUAGUGACCUACAUCAUCCUCACCUUUGUGCUGCUGCUCAACAUGUUGAUUGCUUUGAUGGGGGAGACGGUGGGCCAGGUGUCCAAGGAGAGCAAAAAAAUCUGGAAGCUGCAGUGGGCAACAACUAUCUUGGACAUCGAACGCUCAUUCCCAGUUUGUAUUCGCAAGUCGUUUCGAGUUGGAGAGAUGGUUACCGUAGGCAAGAACUGGGAUGGAACACCUGACCGACGAUUGUGCUUUAGAGUGGAUGAGGUGAACUGGUGCCAUUGGAAUCAAAACCUGGCAAUAAUCAAUGAGGACCCGGGCAAGAAUGAGACCUGUCAGGCCAAUGGCCUUCAACAAAGUGUUAGAGCCUUACGGAGGGACCGCUGGUCCACCGUGGUCCCACGGGUGGUGGAGUUAAGUCGGGGGCCACGACCUCGCGAUCUGGUGAUAGAGAUGGAGCCCCUCACGUCCAAGCAUUGAAAGCCACAGUGGGCUAAUUGUGAUUCUAGUUCCAAGACAGCCGAGAUGUGUGUGAAAGGAGAUCACUCUGCUGGCACCCGUUAAAGUGCGCUCAUUUGCACGCCUUUUAUUCAUGGCACCCCCAUUGUAAAUAUUUAUUGAAAGCCAGUGGCAUUGGGAGUAGCCCUCAUAAACUGGGCAAUGGAUGUGCAACAUGUCAAAUAACCGGCUCCUUAUAGAGAAAACCGUGAAAUCAAGAAUGUUAACGAAGCAGUAUAGCUGUAAUAUAUGUCAUAAAACAUCAUGAAAAUAUUCCGUGUAAUUGCAUUUUACUCAGGGACUUGACAGUCACAGUACUGCAUUCCUAUAAUUGAGUCCUACAGAAACACAAUUACUGUAUCACAUCUCUUACAGUGCUGACUUUUUUUUAAAUCUAUAAAUGGACAAUCGCAGCAGUAAGAAACGCAGCAAUAAAUAUUUAUCUAUUUUAGGAUUGUUAGUGUUGCUACUGUUAAAUAUGAUACUAGUUGUAGUGUGUUUUUAUAUGGAAUUGAUUAUAUAUUUUAAAACUAGUCUCAAGCCUGAGUUGCCAGCUUGGGUAGGCAGCUUAUUUUGGAGUUAAACAAUGCACUGUGCUCAUCCCCAAUACAUUAUUGUUGCAAAAGGCAGACAUUGUUCUGGAAAAAUGGGCCUUAUGAGCAAGGUUACUGUUGUCAAGCAAGUAGUAGACAAUAGCAUUACGUGCUGUGCGUUGUCUUUGAAUUUCCGGAGUUAUUAUGUUCCUUGCAGCUGCGAGAUAUUUGCAUAAUCGAGGCAGAGGCCUUGCCUCUAUUUAGUAGAGUAUGUUUUAUGCAUUUGGCUCCUUGCCCUGUACAAGAUCUUGUUUUUGUGCUUCCUAUUUAUCUAUAUGCUGUAUGUAUGUACUGUAUGGCCAUAUUGGAGUUAUUUGAGCAGUCCAAGAGGCAUCAUUGGAGGUCGUUUUCAUUGAUGCUUUACAGGUGCACCAGGGCCUUUGCACCAGCUAAAGGUCUUCAUGGGAUUUACUAAAGGAUCUUUACAAGCAGGGUAAGUCAAUUUCUCUCCACGUUACCGCCUCCAGGCCAUCCCGGUGAGCCUCUCGCUGCCCUUGAAAACAGGUUAGCAGUCGAUAAGUUUUAUAGAUCUAAAUGUCCUCAUUCGCAUGGCGCUCACAUCUGUCCUUUCCUGGGCAGCGUAAUUGGCUUCC
Syngnathus typhle (broad-nosed pipefish) is the source of this 4073-nucleotide RNA transcript. It is a transcript of the gene named transient receptor potential cation channel, subfamily V, member 4, with no coding region annotated. The transcript has 18 exons. The record is from RefSeq and is a predicted model, not a curated record. NCBI's taxonomy places the organism in Eukaryota, Metazoa, Chordata, Actinopteri, Syngnathiformes, Syngnathidae.